This 275-nucleotide ribosomal RNA is filed under the name uncultured bacterium. RNAcentral describes it as "partial 16S ribosomal RNA". It matches the Rfam family "Bacterial small subunit ribosomal RNA", at positions 399 to 691 of the family's 1533-position model. The record is from RNAcentral.
GCGUGAGUGAAGAAGGCCUUAGGGUUGUAAAGCUCUUUCGGCGGGGACGAUGAUGACGGUACCCGCAGAAGAAGCCCCGGCUAACUCCGUGCCAGCAGCCGCGGUAAUACGGAGGGGGCAAGCGUUGUUCGGAGUUACUGGGCGUAAAGGGCGCGUAGGCGGUGCGACAAGUCAGGCGUGAAAGCCCCGGGCUUAACCUGGGAAUUGCGCUUGAUACUGUCGCGCUAGAGAUCGGGAGAGGAUGGCGGAAUUCCCAGUGUAGAGGUGAAAUUCGU